UACGGGGGGGGCAAGCGUUGUCCGGAAUUACUGGGCGUAAAGGGCUCGUAGGCGGCCGAGUAAGUCGGAUGUGAAAUCCCCAGGCUUAACCUGGGAACUGCAUCCGAUACUGGAUGGCUUGAAUCCGGGAGAGGGAUGCAGAAUUCCAGGUGUAGCGGUGAAAUGCGUAGAUAUCUGGAGGAAUACCGGUGGCGAAGGCGGCAUCCUGGACCGGCAUUGACGCUGAUGAGCGAAAGCUAGGGGAGCAAACGGG
This 253-nucleotide ribosomal RNA is filed under the name uncultured bacterium. RNAcentral describes it as "partial 16S ribosomal RNA". It matches the Rfam family "Bacterial small subunit ribosomal RNA", at positions 524 to 776 of the family's 1533-position model. The record is from RNAcentral.